This 253-nucleotide ribosomal RNA is filed under the name uncultured bacterium. RNAcentral's name for it is "partial 16S ribosomal RNA". It matches the Rfam family "Bacterial small subunit ribosomal RNA", at positions 524 to 776 of the family's 1533-position model. The record is from RNAcentral.
UACGGAGGGAGCUAGCGUUGUUCGGAAUUACUGGGCGUAAAGCGCACGUAGGCGGCGAAGCAAGUCAGGGGUGAAAUCCCGGGGCUCAACCCCGGAACUGCCUUUGAAACUGCUUUGCUAGAAUCCUGGAGAGGCGAGUGGAAUUCCGAGUGUAGAGGUGAAAUUCGUAGAUAUUCGGAAGAACACCAGUGGCGAAGGCGACUCGCUGGACAGGUAUUGACGCUGAGGUGCGAAAGCGUGGGGAGCAAACAGG